CAUGGAAGGGGCGCAGCCUGACCGCAAUGCCGCGUGCAGGAAGAAGGCCUUCGGGUUGUAAACUGCUUUUGUCAGGGAAGAAAUCCUCUGGGUUAAUACCUCGGGGGGAUGACGGUACCUGAAGAAUAAGCACCGGCUAACUACGUGCCAGCAGCCGCGGUAAUACGUAGGGUGCGAGCGUUAAUCGGAAUUACUGGGCGUAAAGCGUGCGCAGGCGGCUUUGCAAGACAGAUGUGAAAUCCCCGGGCUCAACCUGGGAACUGCAUUUGUGACUGCAAGGCUAGAGUACGGUAGAGGGGGAUGGAAUUCCGCGUGUAGCAGUGAGAUGCGUAGAUAUGCGGAGGAACACCAAUGGCGAAGGCAAUCCCCUGGACCUGUACUGACGCUCAUGCACGAAAG
This 399-nucleotide ribosomal RNA is filed under the name uncultured bacterium. RNAcentral's name for it is "bacterial SSU rRNA". It matches the Rfam family "Bacterial small subunit ribosomal RNA", at positions 365 to 759 of the family's 1533-position model. The record is from RNAcentral.